Glossina palpalis gambiensis is the source of this 72-nucleotide non-coding RNA. The record is from Rfam. Lineage: Eukaryota; Metazoa; Arthropoda; Insecta; Diptera; Glossinidae.
GCGGAAGUAGCUCAGAGGAAGAGCAUAACCUUGCCAAGGUUAGGGUCGCGAGUUCAAGUCUCGUCUUCCGCU